This 408-nucleotide ribosomal RNA is filed under the name uncultured bacterium. Its description in RNAcentral is "bacterial SSU rRNA". It matches the Rfam family "Bacterial small subunit ribosomal RNA", at positions 355 to 776 of the family's 1533-position model. The record is from RNAcentral.
UCGAGAAUCUUCCGCAAUGGGCGAAAGCCUGACGGAGCGAUGCCGCGUGGUGGAUGAAGUCCCUCGGGACGUAAACACCUUUUGUAGGGGAGAAAGUAAUUGAUAGUACCCUAAGAAUAAGGACCUGCUAAACUCGUGCCAGCAGCAGCGGUGAUACGAGUGGUCCAAGCGUUAUCCGGAAUUAUUGGGCGUAAAGGGUGCGUAGGUGGUUUAGUUAGUCCUUCGUCAAAGCUCCCGGCUUAACCGGGAAUCUGCGAAGGAAACGGCUAGACUUGAGGGUGCCAGAGGCUUGUGGAACUCAUGGUGUAGGGGUGAAAUCCGUUGAUAUCAUGGGGAACGCCAAAUGUGAAGACAACAAGCUGGGGCAUACCUGACGCUGAGUGCACGAAAGCGUGGGUUUCGAACGGG